GCCCCCGUAGCCCAACUGGUAGAGGCAAUCGACUCAAAAUCGAUCCAGUGUCGGUUCGAAUCCGACCGGGGGUA
This 74-nucleotide transfer RNA is filed under the name Thermoleophilia bacterium. RNAcentral describes it as "tRNA-Leu". It matches the Rfam family "tRNA". Rfam says of the family: Transfer RNA (tRNA) molecules are approximately 80 nucleotides in length. Their secondary structure includes four short double-helical elements and three loops (D, anti-codon, and T loops). Further hydrogen bonds mediate the characteristic L-shaped molecular structure. tRNAs have two regions of fundamental functional importance: the anti-codon, which is responsible for specific mRNA codon recognition, and the 3' end, to which the tRNAs corresponding amino acid is attached (by aminoacyl-tRNA synthetases). tRNAs cope with the degeneracy of the genetic code in two manners: having more than one tRNA (with a specific anti-codon) for a particular amino acid; and 'wobble' base-pairing, i.e. permitting non-standard base-pairing at the 3rd anti-codon position. The record is from RNAcentral. Lineage: Bacteria; Bacillati; Actinomycetota; Thermoleophilia.